Molecule: small nuclear RNA, 105 nt
Organism: Vombatus ursinus (common wombat)
Lineage: Eukaryota; Metazoa; Chordata; Mammalia; Diprotodontia; Vombatidae
Source: Ensembl
GCUCACUUCAGCAAAACAUGUGCCAAAAGCGGAACAAUACAGAGAAGAUUCGCAUGGCCCCAGCCCAAGGAUGAUGUGCAAAUUCACAAAACUUGCCAGAUUUUA